This is an RNA transcript of Aplysia californica (California sea hare), 2305 nucleotides long. It is a transcript of the gene named caspase-3, with no coding region annotated. The record is from RefSeq and is a predicted model, not a curated record. NCBI's taxonomy places the organism in Eukaryota, Metazoa, Mollusca, Gastropoda, Aplysiida, Aplysiidae. The transcript has 7 exons.
CGCGCGUGAGAGGCUGAGUGAGUCUAUGAGUGAGAGAGGAAAUCCGUGAGGCGCAUCGCGAACGGCCAACAGUGAGGUGUUCCAGCUAGGCACAGAACGAAACGACAGUCGCGCGAUCACGUGUGAGCCUGAUACUUUGAGAAACUAUUUUUGUUGAAUUUUAUUCCAUCUUUUACUCUGAUAUCAGUGUUGUUGUACUUCACACGGAAAGUUGUGAUUGUGGAUGCUUUUUCGCUGUAAGAAAAAGGAAUCGACUUGUCAAAGAAAUAUAAAAAAGGACUUUAUUCUCUUUUAUAACGUAGUGUCCAAGGUUGUACACAUAUUAGGAGAAGUCUGGGACAACAGCAUUCAAUACACAGAGAUGUGAUUUUCUUCUGCUAGUAUCUAUCACAAGCUUUAUCACACGGAGGAAUGUGUUCGUUUAAUGAAUUCUUUUAUACACCCCGACUUGGUGGUUUUCGACGCCGUUUGGCCCAGUAACACAGUGAGAAAACAACGUCAAAUCCCAGACUCCAUCUGCUCCUCUUUUGCUGCCUGAACGUAGGUCAUUUAUCUUUCACUUGGGAUUUUUUUAAAAACCGUUUUCCUUCACGUAUGCGGGACUGAAACAUUACGUCAUACUGUUUUUGAAAUGAGAAACUUUCUCUGGUAAAGGCGGAAACGGCUGGUUAAUAAAUCAGUAGCGUAGAGAAGCCAGCCUCUCACCAUUUAGUGUUUGGGGCAGGGGCAGUCAUUAAUCACGAGUCUCAACUCAAGCAACAUCAAAUCUCUUCCGGCGCCGUCCUCCAGCCGGAUACAACUUUCUAGUUUCCAAGGGACGGUUGGCAGAAACAUCAUCCUCAACUGCUGCCUCCCGAAACACAUUUUACUACCCUGGGACAUUGUUUCCAGUUCUAUUUUUGGUUGUCACGUGCUCCUGUGUGUCCCACCCGACCGCCAAAGUGGAGGUUCCGGUGUCCAGCAAGCGCCAUCGCGUCUCCUGUGGCUCGAUCGCCGCAGCCGGACCGGACACUUCCGGUACCAAAAUCAUCCGCAGCUGCAGCGCCAGCUUUGCCCAUGGAGGCGCCGAGUUCCAGAAGCCCGUAGGUCGCUACCACCACCUGCAUCAGCAGCAGCAGCAGCAACAGCAGCAGCAACAGCACGGUCAGCCGUUAGACACGUCGGUGCUGGCCAGUGCUGUGCGAGUGGCGGCGACUAUCGGACUGUCCGUCAGUCACUCGGCAGACCCCCCCGGGAGUGACGUCAGCCCGACCAUGAGCUCUCACCAAGCAGAGCUGCCGUACAUUCUUAGAUCUGUCAGCGGUGAGCGUCGAGAUGUUCGUCCCGGUGCGCCGUCAGAACCUAACGAGUACAAUUUCAACUUCAAGAAGCGCGGCCUGUUCCUGCUCAUCAACAACCGCCACUUCACAGACGACACUGGUCAACCGCCGCGCGAGGGCAGCGACGUCGAUGCAGAGAGGUUGGAGGAACGAUUCCAGGACUUGGGUUUCGAGGUGCGGCGUUAUGAUGACGUCACCUGCGCUAAAAUGACGUCACUUUUGUAUGACGCGGCAGCAAGUGACCACUCGGACCACGACUGCUUUGGCUGUGCCGUACUGUCUCAUGGGCGUGAGGGUCUGGUCUAUGCCAAGGACGGUCAUGUGCCCCUUGACCUUCUGGUACUCCCCUUUAAAGGCGACCGGUGUCCAUCCCUCAUUGGCAAGCCCAAACUCUUUUUCAUACAGGCGUGCCAAAGCGAAAGAAGUGGAAACUACCUAGACACGUCGUGUUCCUCCAGGGGGCGCUCUCCUGUUUCUCCCUCCUCCAGCAGACGAUCACCAGUGUCGCCGCCAAGUCUUGCCGGCGACGAGGACUCACCGGAACUCUCGGGCAUAAUACACAUGCGCAAGAUCCCAAUCGAGGCUGACUGCCUCUUCUGUUACUCCACAGUGCCUGGCUACUAUUCAUGGCGGAACAACCAAGAUGGCUCCUGGUUCAUUCAGGCGCUCUGUAUUGUGCUGGAGAACUACAGCACCAAGAUGGAACUCAUGCACAUGCUCACUCACGUCAACCGUAUCGUGGCCUACGAGUUCGCCUCCUGCACAGACAAGGAGUUCUCGGAGAAUAUGAAGACGAUGCCUUGUAUACUUUCAAUGCUCACGAGAUACGUCUAUUUCCGGCCCAAGAAGCAGGAUAUUCGAUAGGAGUUUUUGUAUCUAUGCUAUCAUUCCGUUCAUUCUCAACCGCCUAUUGUUAGAAUUACUUUUAAAAAUGUACGUUAUACAAACAAAAAAAUAAAGAAGACAAAAUCGGUGUGAAAAAAAAU